This 812-nucleotide long non-coding RNA is filed under the name Equus caballus (horse). RNAcentral describes it as "lncRNA (ENSECAG00000057562.1)". The record is from RNAcentral. Lineage: Eukaryota; Metazoa; Chordata; Mammalia; Perissodactyla; Equidae.
ACUUCCGGUUUUCCUGAAAGCUUGCACUUCCCGUCUCGCGCUCGUGGGAGGGGCGUAGUUUGCUGUUCUGGCUUCUUUCUGAGAGCUGGUUGAAAGUGGGCGUUUGUCCAAGUUUGGGUGUUUUUUUGUGGCCACUGUAGUUGUCCUAGUCAUAUCUCGAGAAAAACGAACACUUUUCCCGCCUUCCUUUUGCAAAUUCAUUCAUUCACUAUUGAGCGCCUACGCCUUGUCAAACACGGUGCUGGGAAUGGGGAUGAAUCAGUCUGUGAGCAAGGAGUUUCCAGUAGCGUUGACCAGACAGGACAAACUUAUGAGUGUGUAAAGGAUAAAGGCUAGGAAAUUAAGGCGGAUUAAGGAUUUCAGAAGCCUUUUUGAAGGAAAAGAACUGAGUAAUCCAGACUUGGGGAAAGAAGUGCUAUCCAAUAAUAGAAUUUGAUGUCUUUGAGAUGGUUUGCGAUUGGAUAAAACCACACAAAUAUGGGCAGAGGUGAAAUACUCCCUGAAGGAAAUGAAUUAUACCACUGUCAGUCUUCCUAAAAAGAGAUCAGAUCCUGGAGCCAGAGAUAAGCUUAAUACUAACUUGUCCACAAAAACUUCAGUGACCUUUCCUGUUCCUGAUCCUAUAUGACAACUACAUUUUAAAAAUUAACUUAAAAGCAUAUGAACAGCAGGAACUCCCCACCCAACCCAAGGAUUAGAACAUUAUCAAUAAAUGAGGUUUCUCUAUGAGCGCCCUCCCCCACGUAGUCCCCAUGCCACUCUCCAGAAUUUCGUGUUUAACAGUCCCUUGGGGUUUUUGUUGUUUUUUUCUU